UUAAGCGACUAAGCGUACACGGUGGAUGCCCUGGCAGUCAGAGGCGAUGAAGGACGUGCUAAUCUGCGAUAAGCGUCGGUAAGGUGAUAUGAACCGUUAUAACCGGCGAUUUCCGAAUGGGGAAACCCAGUGUGUUUCGACACACUAUCAUUAACUGAAUCCAUAGGUUAAUGAGGCGAACCGGGGGAACUGAAACAUCUAAGUACCCCGAGGAAAAGAAAUCAACCGAGAUUCCCCCAGUAGCGGCGAGCGAACGGGGAGCAGCCCAGAGCCUGAAUCAGUGUGUGUGUUAGUGGAAGCGUCUGGAAAGGCGCGCGAUACAGGGUGACAGCCCCGUACACAAAAAUGCACAUGCUGUGAGCUCGAUGAGUAGGGCGGGACACGUGGUAUCCUGUCUGAAUAUGGGGGGACCAUCCUCCAAGGCUAAAUACUCCUGACUGACCGAUAGUGAACCAGUACCGUGAGGGAAAGGCGAAAAGAACCCCGGCGAGGGGAGUAAGAAAAGAACCUGAAACCGUGUACGUACAAGCAGUGGGAGCACAGAGCAAUCUGUGUGACUGCGUACCUUUUGUAUAAUGGGUCAGCGACUUAUAUUCUGUAGCAAGGUUAACCGAAUAGGGGAGCCGAAGGGAAACCGAGUCUUAACUGGGCGUUAAGUUGCAGGGUAUAGACCCGAAACCCGGUGAUCUAGCCAUGGGCAGGUUGAAGGUUGGUAACACUAACUGGAGGACCGAACCGACUAAUGUUGAAAAAUUAGCGGAUGACUUGUGGCUGGGGGUGAAAAGGCCAAUCAAACCGGGAGAUAGCUGGUUCUCCCCGAAAGCUAUUUAGGUAGCGCCUCGUGAAUUCAUCUCCGGGGGUAGAGCACUGUUUCGGCAAGGGGGUCAUCCCGACUUACCAACCCGAUGCAAACUGCGAAUACCGGAGAAUGUUAUCACGGGAGACACACGGCGGGUGCUAACGUCCGUCGUGAAGAGGGAAACAACCCAGACCGCCAGCUAAGGUCCCAAAGUCAUGGUUAAGUGGGAAACGAUGUGGGAAGGCCCAGACAGCCAGGAUGUUGGCUUAGAAGCAGCCAUCAUUUAAAGAAAGCGUAAUAGCUCACUGGUCGAGUCGGCCUGCGCGGAAGAUGUAACGGGGCUAAACCAUGCACCGAAGCUGCGGCAGCGACGCUUAUGCGUUGUUGGGUAGGGGAGCGUUCUGUAAGCCUGCGAAGGUGUGCUGUGAGGCAUGCUGGAGGUAUCAGAAGUGCGAAUGCUGACAUAAGUAACGAUAAAGCGGGUGAAAAGCCCGCUCGCCGGAAGACCAAGGGUUCCUGUCCAACGUUAAUCGGGGCAGGGUGAGUCGACCCCUAAGGCGAGGCCGAAAGGCGUAGUCGAUGGGAAACAGGUUAAUAUUCCUGUACUUGGUGUUACUGCGAAGGGGGGACGGAGAAGGCUAUGUUGGCCGGGCGACGGUUGUCCCGGUUUAAGCGUGUAGGCUGGUUUUCCAGGCAAAUCCGGAAAAUCAAGGCUGAGGCGUGAUGACGAGGCACUACGGUGCUGAAGCAACAAAUGCCCUGCUUCCAGGAAAAGCCUCUAAGCAUCAGGUAACAUCAAAUCGUACCCCAAACCGACACAGGUGGUCAGGUAGAGAAUACCAAGGCGCUUGAGAGAACUCGGGUGAAGGAACUAGGCAAAAUGGUGCCGUAACUUCGGGAGAAGGCACGCUGAUAUGUAGGUGAAGUCCCUCGCUGAUGGAGCUGAAAUCAGUCGAAGAUACCAGCUGGCUGCAACUGUUUAUUAAAAACACAGCACUGUGCAAACACGAAAGUGGACGUAUACGGUGUGACGCCUGCCCGGUGCCGGAAGGUUAAUUGAUGGGGUUAGCGCAAGCGAAGCUCUUGAUCGAAGCCCCGGUAAACGGCGGCCGUAACUAUAACGGUCCUAAGGUAGCGAAAUUCCUUGUCGGGUAAGUUCCGACCUGCACGAAUGGCGUAAUGAUGGCCAGGCUGUCUCCACCCGAGACUCAGUGAAAUUGAACUCGCUGUGAAGAUGCAGUGUACCCGCGGCAAGACGGAAAGACCCCGUGAACCUUUACUAUAGCUUGACACUGAACAUUGAGCCUUGAUGUGUAGGAUAGGUGGGAGGCUUUGAAGUGUGGACGCCAGUCUGCAUGGAGCCGACCUUGAAAUACCACCCUUUAAUGUUUGAUGUUCUAACGUGGACCCGUAAUCCGGGUUGCGGACAGUGUCUGGUGGGUAGUUUGACUGGGGCGGUCUCCUCCUAAAGAGUAACGGAGGAGCACGAAGGUUGGCUAAUCCUGGUCGGACAUCAGGAGGUUAGUGCAAUGGCAUAAGCCAGCUUGACUGCGAGCGUGACGGCGCGAGCAGGUGCGAAAGCAGGUCAUAGUGAUCCGGUGGUUCUGAAUGGAAGGGCCAUCGCUCAACGGAUAAAAGGUACUCCGGGGAUAACAGGCUGAUACCGCCCAAGAGUUCAUAUCGACGGCGGUGUUUGGCACCUCGAUGUCGGCUCAUCACAUCCUGGGGCUGAAGUAGGUCCCAAGGGUAUGGCUGUUCGCCAUUUAAAGUGGUACGCGAGCUGGGUUUAGAACGUCGUGAGACAGUUCGGUCCCUAUCUGCCGUGGGCGCUGGAGAACUGAGGGGGGCUGCUCCUAGUACGAGAGGACCGGAGUGGACGCAUCACUGGUGUUCGGGUUGUCAUGCCAAUGGCACUGCCCGGUAGCUAAAUGCGGAAGAGAUAAGUGCUGAAAGCAUCUAAGCACGAAACUUGCCCCGAGAUGAGUUCUCCCUGACUCCUUGAGAGUCCUGAAGGAACGUUGAAGACGACGACGUUGAUAGGCCGGGUGUGUAAGCGCAGCGAUGCGUUGAGCUAACCGGUACUAAUGAACCGUGAGGCUUAACCUU
RNAcentral lists this ribosomal RNA (2905 nucleotides) under Escherichia coli DEC13D. Its description in RNAcentral is "bacterial LSU rRNA". It matches the Rfam family "Bacterial large subunit ribosomal RNA". The record is from RNAcentral. Lineage: Bacteria; Pseudomonadati; Pseudomonadota; Gammaproteobacteria; Enterobacterales; Enterobacteriaceae.